AGAAAGAAUGCUGGAACUGCUAAUUCCACCCUCCAUAACUAAUAAUUGUGGCUUUCUU
RNAcentral lists this transfer RNA (58 nucleotides) under Plagiodontia aedium (Hispaniolan hutia). RNAcentral's name for it is "tRNA-Ser". The record is from RNAcentral. Lineage: Eukaryota; Metazoa; Chordata; Mammalia; Rodentia; Capromyidae.